Molecule: long non-coding RNA, 330 nt
Filed under: Homo sapiens (human)
Lineage: Eukaryota; Metazoa; Chordata; Mammalia; Primates; Hominidae
Description: non-protein coding lnc-RIOX2-7:1
Source: RNAcentral
GGAAGAACCGGAACUAUGGUUUGUGCCUUCCUUAUUGCCUCUGAAAUAUUUUUAACUGCAAAGGAAAGCCUGUAUUAUUUUGGAGAAAGGCGAACAGAUAAAACCCACAGCAAAAAAUUUCAGGGAGUAGAAACUCCUUCUCAGAAUAGCUAUGUUGGAUAUUUUGCACAAGUGAAACAUCUCUACAACUGGAAUCUCCCUCCAAGACGGAUACUCUUUAUGAAAACAUUCAUUAUUUAUUCAAUUCCUGGUUAUGUACGUGAUCUAAAAGUCCAAAUAGUAAUGGAGAAAAAGGUUGUCUUUUCCAGUACUUCAUGAGGAAAUUGUUCG